UCUGUGCAUACAAAAAAAUAUGGCCACUUACUGGGAAUAUUAUAUAAGUUACGGAGUAGCUCAGUGUCGCAAUUUGGAACUUGGAAGGCAUAAUUUCCAAGAUGAAUAGAAAGUGGAGUCGGGGGUCAAAAAGGAAAACGCAAAGAAGAGAGUGGAGUUGGGGGAGUCCAUCUUCAUCUCGCAAUCUCUCACUUUGCUCCAAAUGCAGCUCUUAGUUAACUUCUUUUGCUCGGGUUUUCUUCUUUGCAUUACUUUUCUGUCUUGGACUUCUUCUGAUUGGAUACCUUGUGCAUUUCCUUUUGGAUACCUUCUUCUGUGUCUUAUCAAGAAGAAAAGUGUAGACCUGUAUAUGUUGGGAGUAGUGAGAUUUUAGGAAGAAUUUUGGUUCAGGAUAAACCUUCGAAUUGAGCUUUCUCAACACUAUUUAGAUUAUCAAAGGUUAUCCCAGUGAGUUGGAAUUCUGGUUUUAGAACAAUUUAUCUAACCAUCAUUAGAAAGAGUCUGUUUGGUGGCUUUGAGAAUGGAUGAGAAAUGGAAGCUGUAAGCUUCUGGUGCUUUUCUUGCAAGUCCUUUCACAAAUUUCUGAUUGGUGAUAGACUGGAACAAAAAAUUUCUCUAGCAAGUCUUACCUGGAAACAUAAAGUUCCAGCCAAGUUCAAGGUUUCACGCUGGUUGGUCCACUCAUGGGAGGAUGAAUAUUUGCGAUAUGUUUCAAUGUAGGAGGUCAAACUGUUGGUUUUGCCCUGAAGGUGUGCCAUAUGCAAAUUUGAGGGACAGAGUAUCAAUCAUGUUUUUGUGCAUUGUGAAGUUGCUUCUAUUUUCUGGCAGAAAUAAUUUAGGGAGGCUGGAAUGUAUAGGGAGACCACACUCCCUGCUCUUUUUGUCCAACUAAUUUGCAUUUGGUAAGAAGGGAAGAAGGCGAAAGUUAAUUGGCGUUGCAGUGCGUUGGUUGUAAUUUGUUUUCUCUGGAUGGAAAGAGAUAGAAGAUUACACAGGUGCAGUGGUAGAGGAACUUUAGGAGAGAGUAAGAUUCUGGUCAGCUGAAUGGGCUUUUGUUUCAGCAGCCUUCUGAUUCCAUGACUUUUGAAAACUAUAGCUUCUCUUAUAUUGUGCUAGAUUGACCCAGGAGCAAUAUAAUAGGUUUCUGUUUUUCGUAGGCUGGUUUCCAUUUACUGCUGCUGUUGAAAAAAUUAUGAAUUUUCUGCUGUUUGUCUCUAUUUUCGUCUUUCUGUCCACUUUUAAUCGGACAUUUCAUUUGAUCAUUAAAAGUUGUUACUUUUCAAGGGAAAUUAAAAUAUUCCCCUCCA
Long non-coding RNA from Rosa chinensis, 1307 nucleotides. RefSeq lists it as uncharacterized. Lineage: Eukaryota; Viridiplantae; Streptophyta; Magnoliopsida; Rosales; Rosaceae. The record is from RefSeq and is a predicted model, not a curated record. The transcript has 2 exons.